UUCAGACCAAGUUUGCUCGUGGCUCAUGUCAGGCCAUUUUCACUCUGUUCAGAAGAUAGCAUUAAUGAGGGAUGAUGAUAUUUUUGUUGUACGUCUUAAGUAAUCUAGUGACAAUUAUCUACCUGUCACUUGGAGGAAUAACAUAGGGCAUAUUUCUUUCAGUACCCUCUGUAUUCUCUGUCCAGGGUGUAUGAGGACAAGUUUGGGAUGACUCCUAAGCUGAUACUACUACACAUCAGUGCGCAGUUGCCUGCACUCGUACCUGCUUGUACAAAUGUUAUAUUGAUUGGUUCAUUGUCUGGAAGAGGCAUAAUUGUGCAGAAGAGCAUGUCCACAUCACACUGUUUCCUCCUGCAAGACUGCACGUGAUUAUUCUCUCAUCCAAAGCCUCACUGGCUGGGGCAAGAUGGAGAGAGAAGCUAUAAGCUAAACAUCAUCGUAAAGGCAAGAUAUUGUCUGGAUAUUCGAAACAUUAAGGUUUGGUAUGUUGCUCGUGAAGGAAGAGGAUGUUUAUAAGUAACUGACAUUGAUAUCUAUGAAUAAUUUUGAUAAUAAAGAAGUGGUGUGAUUACUUCUUUCUUUUUUCUCUUUGAGAUUUGUAUGAUCAAUUCGACACUUACAAUGAUGUAAGGAAAUGAAUAACCAGAUUAAAAAAAAAA
Penaeus monodon (black tiger shrimp) is the source of this 659-nucleotide long non-coding RNA. RefSeq lists it as uncharacterized. The record is from RefSeq and is a predicted model, not a curated record. The transcript has 3 exons. Lineage: Eukaryota; Metazoa; Arthropoda; Malacostraca; Decapoda; Penaeidae.